GUGUGCGACAGCUGCUUGAAGAAAACUGGCAGACCUCGAAAAGAAAACAAAUUCAGUGCUAAGAGGCUGCAGACCACAAGACUGGGAAACCACUUGGAAGACCGAGUGAACAAAUUUUUGCGGCGACAGAAUCACCCUGAAGCCGGGGAGGUUUUUGUCCGAGUGGUGGCCAGCUCAGACAAGACGGUGGAGGUCAAGCCCGGGAUGAAGUCACGGUACGUGACAGGGCACAUCUGGGCCUGUCCUCCAAGUGAAGGAGAUGAUUACAUCUUCCAUUGCCACCCACCUGAUCAAAAAAUACCCAAGCCAAAACGACUGCAGGAGUGGUACAAAAAGAUGCUGGACAAGGCGUUUGCAGAGCGGAUCAUUCAUGACUACAAGGUACCGGUGCUGAAGGAAGGUGGUGGCUUUUGUCACAACUGAGUGAAGGAUAUUUGUGUGCCUUUUUCUUGCAUUCGCAUACUUGUUAAUUACCUUCACUUAUGAGGAUUAGAAAGCAGAAAAAUAAAAGCCUAAAGUGAG
RNAcentral lists this small RNA (522 nucleotides) under Pongo abelii (Sumatran orangutan). RNAcentral describes it as "retained intron". Lineage: Eukaryota; Metazoa; Chordata; Mammalia; Primates; Hominidae. The record is from RNAcentral.